UGCGUUGUUUUUUUAUUCGCGAUUUGAUAUGCAUAAAGUAUGCAUUUAGCAUAGGGACCGAAGCGACACGCGUUGGCGAUUCGGUCACUAUCCGUUAGUCAGGCCUCAACCGUCUGCUGUUAGAGUAAUGGUCGAUCGUUGCGUGAAGCCUAGGUUUCUCGUAAAAAAAAUUAGAGUCAGUGGAUUAGUCCGGUCGGGGGGAGACCACUUAAAACAAAAAUCGUGAAAAGUUCCACCUCAAAAGUUCUACUUUUCCCUAUUCUUUUCCUAUUCCUUUUAAUAUUUUCUUUGCAGGAUGAACUAUGAUGCCAAAUUCCGUUCAAGAAAAGGAGGAAACGAACCUUAGGAGGACUGAGUUAUGAUAACAAUUCCGACCAAGAGGAAGGGGAUGUGGAUUAGAAGAUGGACCAGAAGUGGACUAAGUUACGGUAAAUG
Molecule: long non-coding RNA, 435 nt
Filed under: Polistes fuscatus (common paper wasp)
Lineage: Eukaryota; Metazoa; Arthropoda; Insecta; Hymenoptera; Vespidae
Description: uncharacterized LOC122524147
Source: RNAcentral